RNAcentral lists this ribosomal RNA (709 nucleotides) under uncultured bacterium. RNAcentral's name for it is "bacterial SSU rRNA". It matches the Rfam family "Bacterial small subunit ribosomal RNA", at positions 56 to 763 of the family's 1533-position model. The record is from RNAcentral.
UGCAGUCGAACGAUACCAGAGAGCUUGCUUUCUGGAAAAGUGGCGCACGGGUGCGUAACGCGUAUGCAACCUACCUUUAUCAGGGGGAUAGCCUCUCGAAAGAGAGAUUAACACCGCAUAAAAUCACAAGCUGGCAUCAGCAAAUGAUCAAAUAUUUAUAGGAUAAAGAUGGGCAUGCGUGACAUUAGUUUGUUGGUGAGGUAACGGCUCACCAAGACUACGAUGUCUAGGGGAUCUGAGAGGAUGACCCCCCACACUGGUACUGAGACACGGACCAGACUCCUACGGGAGGCAGCAGUAAGGAAUAUUGGUCAAUGGGGGCAACCCUGAACCAGCCAUGCCGCGUGCAGGAAGACGGCCCUAUGGGUUGUAAACUGCUUUUAUACCGGAAUAAACCCCCGAUCGUGAUCGGGGCUGAAUGUACGGUAAGAAUAAGGAUCGGCUAACUCCGUGCCAGCAGCCGCGGUAAUACGGAGGAUCCAAGCGUUAUCCGGAUUUAUUGGGUUUAAAGGGUGCGUAGGCGGCCUGUUAAGUCAGGGGUGAAAGACGGUGGCUCAACCAUCGCAGUGCCUUUGAUACUGACGGGCUUGAAUACACUUGAGGUAGGCGGAAUGUGACAAGUAGCGGUGAAAUGCAUAGAUAUGUCACAGAACACCGAUUGCGAAGGCAGCUUACUAAGGUGCAAUUGACGCUGAGGCACGAAAGCGUG